CAGUCGAGGGGCAGCAUCAUCAAAGCUUGCUUUGAUGGAUGGCGACCGGCGCACGGGUGAGUAACACGUAUCCAACCUGCCGACAACACUGGGAUAGCCUUUCGAAAGAAAGAUUAAUACCGGAUGGCAUAGUUUUCCCGCAUGGGAUAAUUAUUAAAGAAUUUCGGUUGUCGAUGGGGAUGCGUUCCAUUAGGCAGUUGGCGGGGUAACGGCCCACCAAACCGACGAUGGAUAGGGGUUCUGAGAGGAAGGUCCCCCACAUUGGAACUGAGACACGGUCCAAACUCCUACGGGAGGCAGCAGUGAGGAAUAUUGGUCAAUGGACGAGAGUCUGAACCAGCCAAGUAGCGUGAAGGAUGACUGCCCUAUGGGUUGUAAACUUCUUUUAUACGGGAAUAAAGUUAGCCACGUGUGGCUUUUUGUAUGUACCGUAUGAAUAAGGAUCGGCUAACUCCGUGCCAGCAGCCGCGGUAAUACGGAGGAUCCGAGCGUUAUCCGGAUUUAUUGGGUUUAAAGGGAGCGUAGGCGGGUUGUUAAGUCAGUUGUGAAAGUUUGCGGCUCAACCGUAAAAUUGCAGUUGAUACUGGCGACCUUGAGUGCAACAGAGGUAGGCGGAAUUCGUGGUGUAGCGGUGAAAUGCUUAGAUAUCACGAAGAACUCCGAUUGCGAAGGCAGCUUACUGGAUUGUAACUGACGCUGAUGCUCGAAAGUGUGGGUAUCAAACAGGAUUAGAUACCCUGGUAGUCCACACAGUAAACGAUGAAUACUCGCUGUUGGCGAUAUACAGUCAGCGGCCAAGCGAAAGCA
This 807-nucleotide ribosomal RNA is filed under the name uncultured bacterium. RNAcentral describes it as "bacterial SSU rRNA". It matches the Rfam family "Bacterial small subunit ribosomal RNA", at positions 59 to 859 of the family's 1533-position model. The record is from RNAcentral.